CCAGACUCCUACGGGAGGCAGCAGUGGGGAAUAUUGCACAAUGGGCGCAAGCCUGAUGCAGCCAUGCCGCGUGUGUGAAGAAGGCCUUCGGGUUGUAAAGCACUUUCAGCGAGGAGGAAGGUGGUGAACUUAAUACGCUCAUCAAUUGACGUUACUCGCAGAAGAAGCACCGGCUAACUCCGUGCCAGCAGCCGCGGUAAUA
RNAcentral lists this ribosomal RNA (202 nucleotides) under Serratia sp. SK1a. RNAcentral describes it as "partial 16S ribosomal RNA". It matches the Rfam family "Bacterial small subunit ribosomal RNA", at positions 331 to 525 of the family's 1533-position model. Lineage: Bacteria; Pseudomonadati; Pseudomonadota; Gammaproteobacteria; Enterobacterales; Yersiniaceae. The record is from RNAcentral.